UACGUAGGGAGCGAGCGUUGUCCGGAUUUACUGGGUGUAAAGGGUGCGCAGGCGGCUCUGCAAGUCAGGCGUGAAAGCUAGGGGCUCAACCCCUAAACUGCGCUUGAAACUGUGGAGCUUGAGUGAAGUAGAGGCAGGCGGAAUUCCCGGUGUAGCGGUGAAAUGCUUAGAUAUCACGAAGAACUCCGAUUGCGAAGGCAGCCUGCUGGACUGUAACUGACGCUGAUGCUCGAAAGUGUGGGUAUCAAACAGG
Molecule: ribosomal RNA, 253 nt
Filed under: uncultured Ruminococcus sp.
Lineage: Bacteria; Bacillati; Bacillota; Clostridia; Eubacteriales; Oscillospiraceae
Description: partial 16S ribosomal RNA
Rfam family: Bacterial small subunit ribosomal RNA
Source: RNAcentral